UUUUGAUGUUGAAUUGCUUUGAAGCUCUCUUUUAGGAUGAAGGGUUUGGUUUCAAACCAAUCCUUUCUUUGCCUUCUCAGAGAUGUCUUUCCUUGCUUGCAGGCUUAAUCCAAAUGGGAUGGAAUGAGCCAGGUCUGCCAUGAGCUUUUAGCUUUCAAGCUGUUGUGAACUCGCACUGGAUGAAGGUCCAUGCUUGAGGAGAGAAGCAAAGGAUGCUUGAUUGCAGCAAGAAUAGAUUUCCUCUGCUUGUGUUCUUGGCUAUUUUUCUCUCCUCUGAUGGUUACAGAGAUGACUUUUCACACCAUCAAGGCCACUUUCUCAGCUUAUUGACAGCUUUAUGAGCACUGUUGGAAAAGCCCCAGCUUCCUUCGUUCCUCAGCUCCAGUUUUCCUUCGGGUGAGAGGGCUGGGAGGUCCCUGAGUUAUCGCACCUGGAUGUGUGUUACCUGCUGCUUCUCCACCCUUGAGGUGUAUGAUCAUAUCAGGACAACUGGUCAGGAUGUGCUACAGAGCAGCAUUUUCAGUCUUCUUGACUCAGCAGAAAGCAGAAACCCUGCAGUCAAGAUACCCAAACCCUGCUCAAUGCCUUGGCCUUGCUGCAGCAGGUAGCCAGGCAGCUGGCUGUGUGAUCCUAUGGCGCGUGGCUCAGCACAACUUGUGCUCCAGAGGACGUCCAGAAGAGAUUAGCAGGUAUGAGAAAUUACAAACAAAAUCAAGUUUUUGGAAAUGAAAUGGAGAGCUGUCGUGACAGGCAUUGUUAGUGGCUGCUAAUCCACUGAGCAGAGAGCGGAGAAGCCCCAGUCCAGCCCAGUAUAGGGUAGAAUAAAUUCCCUGUCUCUGUUUUAUGUCCUGUCUGU
RNAcentral lists this long non-coding RNA (856 nucleotides) under Coturnix japonica (Japanese quail). Its description in RNAcentral is "lncRNA (ENSCJPG00005020578.1)". Lineage: Eukaryota; Metazoa; Chordata; Aves; Galliformes; Phasianidae. The record is from RNAcentral.